AUGGCCUCUGAGCCCCUGUCGUCGGGCCAGUCUUCGCCAUGCAGCCCGGAGUCGUCUGUCCCGAGCUCACCUGAGGUGAUUCCUGCAUCUCCGGCGACCGUCACGUCUCCGUCACCUUCGCCUCCGCCGGCUCCUGCUGCUGCUCUACGUCCACAUACGCGCAGUCAGAGUGGCAUUUUUCAGCCUAAACAACGUCACGAUGGCACAGUUGCUUGGUUAGCGGCGUGCAUGUCUGCUGCUCUCGCAGAUCCAUCCUCUGAGCCACGCACGUAUCAAGCUGCUAUGCGCAUUCCUCAUUGGAGAGAGGCCAUGGAGCAGGAGUAUCAAGCGCUUCUUCGCAAUCAGACAUGGACUCUUGUUCCUCCACAAUCACGGGUAAAUGUCAUUGAUUCCAAAUGGGUUUUCAAAGUGAAGAGGCAUUCUGAU
This 426-nucleotide ribosomal RNA is filed under the name Triticum aestivum (bread wheat). RNAcentral's name for it is "partial small subunit ribosomal RNA". Lineage: Eukaryota; Viridiplantae; Streptophyta; Magnoliopsida; Poales; Poaceae. The record is from RNAcentral.